AAUAAAACUGAAUACUAUACUCAUAUAAUAGCGGGAAUAUGGCUCGCAAGUUUCUACCGACUAACCGUAAAUAUGUCGACUAUGAGAGACAAAUUUAGACAG
This 102-nucleotide non-coding RNA is filed under the name Ureibacillus massiliensis. RNAcentral's name for it is "Lysinibacillus massiliensis Guanine sequence". It matches the Rfam family "Purine riboswitch aptamer". From Rfam's summary of the family: Riboswitches are metabolite binding domains within certain messenger RNAs that serve as precision sensors for their corresponding targets. The record is from RNAcentral. RNAcentral also lists the same sequence under 1 other name. Lineage: Bacteria; Bacillati; Bacillota; Bacilli; Caryophanales; Caryophanaceae.